GGACCCGCACAAGUAGUGGAGCAUGUGGUUUAAUUCGAAGAUACGCGCAGAACCUUACCAACACUUGACAUGUUCGUCGCGACUCUAAGAGAUUAGAGUUCUCGGUUCGGCCGGACGAAACACAGGUGCUGCAUGGCUGUCGUCAGCUCGUGUCGUGAGAUGUUGGGUUAAGUCCCGCAACGAGCGCAACCCUCACUUUUAGUUGCCAUCAUUAAGUUGGGCACUCUGAAAGAACUGCCAGUGAUAAGCUGGAGGAAGGUGGGGAUGACGUCAAGUCCUCAUGGCCCUUACGUGUUGGGCUACACACGUGCUACAAUGGCAUCUACAACAGGAAGCAAAACGGCAACGUUAAGCAAAUCCCAAAAAGAUGCCUCAGUUCGGAUUGCACUCUGCAACUCGAGUGCAUG
RNAcentral lists this ribosomal RNA (407 nucleotides) under uncultured bacterium. Its description in RNAcentral is "bacterial SSU rRNA". It matches the Rfam family "Bacterial small subunit ribosomal RNA", at positions 917 to 1322 of the family's 1533-position model. The record is from RNAcentral.